This 986-nucleotide long non-coding RNA is filed under the name Cricetulus griseus (Chinese hamster). RNAcentral describes it as "lncRNA (ENSCGRG00015013844.2)". The record is from RNAcentral. Lineage: Eukaryota; Metazoa; Chordata; Mammalia; Rodentia; Cricetidae.
GGAGUAAUCCAGCCCUUCCUGAAGACAGCAACCUGCAGGAAACACACAUCAGGAUUCCAGGGCUAGGGAUCAGUAUGUCCUCUCAGCCAGGACCCAGCCACAUCAAGGUGGCUAGCUCAGCUUGUGGCCCCACAGAUGCUACAUUUUCCAGUUCAAGGUGGCUUUACCUACCCUCCCUCCCAUCCUCUUUCUGCUGUUAUGAUGGGUAACUGUGCUUGAACACUGUAGACUUCAACUCUUUGAUUUCACAGUGGCUUUUCUGCUCUACUCUGUGGAGGGAAGCCCUAAUCUUGGGAAGUUUACCUGUUUAGCUGUGGUCACAUUCCUGACUGCAGUAAACAGAGUCACCAGCAUCUUACCUCCAGGACUACACCAACUCUAAUGUACCUUACCAGUUGCUGCCAGAGGGGCCUUUCUAACUCAUAAAUUAGCAUAAUCCUCCAGUUCUUCAAAAUCCUACAGUAGCCACCUCGGGGAUGGGAUAAAGGAUUGUUACUUUAGCACAGAUUCCUUAUCAGGAGUUGGAAUUAAGCGCUGUAGACCUAUGAGGACUUCAGUCUUGUCUGCAAAAUGAGCUUUGGGCCCAACAGCUCAGGCCUCUUUCGUGGGACCCUCCUCAUGUGCUAGCCUUCCACAAAAUAUUCCUCAGCCUGGAUUUUCACAGACGCCACACCCUCACCCUCCUGCUGCUCAGCCCUCCCACCGACUCAUCUGCCUUGGGUGAUGGCCACGCCCUCCUCUGUCUGGCCUCCACUUUCUCUAACCUGGAGCAACUACUCUCCUGACCCUGCCUUACAGAGUUCAAGUUUCUGGCAGGCGGGGACAUGUUUUAUAGGCUUUUUUGUCCCCCAAGGCUCACAACUCAGCAGUUCCUGAACAGAGGAGAGACUCUAAGGCACCAUACAAAAUACAAGGAACUUGGCUACCAAAUCUUGAGUUCCAAGCCUCCUGCUUCUGGGCUUUUGCCACGAAGCCAAGACAUUAAC